UUACUGGCUCAGGAUGAACGCUAGCUACAGGCUUAACACAUGCAAGUCGAGGGGCAGCAUGAAGUUUGCUUGCAAACUUGAUGGCGACCGGCGCACGGGUGAGUAACGCGUAUCCAACCUUCCCUAUACUAGAGGAUAGCCCGGCGAAAGUCGGAUUAAUACUCUAUGUUCUUCGUAGAAGACAUCUGAAAUGAAGCAAAGGUUUACCGGUAUAGGAUGGGGAUGCGUCUGAUUAGGUUGUUGGCGGGUAACGGCCCACCAAGCCCACGAUCAGUAGGGGUUCUGAGAGGAAGGUCCCCCACAUUGGAACUGAGACACGGUCCAAACUCCUACGGGAGGCAGCAGUGAGGAAUAUUGGUCAAUGGACGAGAGUCUGAACCAGCCAAGUAGCGUGCAGGAUGACGGCCCUAUGGGUUGUAAACUGCUUUUACACAGGGAUAAAGUUCACUACGUGUAGUGUUUUGUAGGUACUGUAUGAAUAAGGACCGGCUAAUUCCGUGCCAGCAGCAGC
This 511-nucleotide ribosomal RNA is filed under the name uncultured bacterium. Its description in RNAcentral is "bacterial SSU rRNA". It matches the Rfam family "Bacterial small subunit ribosomal RNA", at positions 16 to 518 of the family's 1533-position model. The record is from RNAcentral.